This 432-nucleotide unclassified non-coding RNA is filed under the name soil metagenome. RNAcentral's name for it is "partial contains 5.8S ribosomal RNA, internal transcribed spacer 2, and large subunit ribosomal RNA". The stretch from base 1 to 119 matches the Rfam family "5.8S ribosomal RNA", at positions 35 to 154 of the family's 154-position model. The record is from RNAcentral.
GAUGAAGAACGUAGCGAAAUGCGAUACGUAAUGUGAAUUGCAGAAUUCAGUGAAUCAUCGAAUCUUUGAACGCAUAUUGCGCUCUCUGUAUUCCGGAGAGCAUGCUUGUUUGAGUAUCAGUAAACACCUCAACUUCCAUAUCUUUUUUUGAAAUGGGAGUUGGACUUGAGUGAUCCCAACGCUUUUCCUCACCGAAAAGUGGCGGGUUACUUGAAAUGCAGGUGCAGCUGGACUUUUCUCUGAGCUAUAAGCAUAUCUAUUUAGUCUGCCUAAAAAACAGAUUAUUACCUUUGCUGCAGCUAACAUAAAGGAGAUUAGUUCUUGUGCUGACUGAUGCAGGAUUCACAAAGACAGCUUCGGCCGACUUUGUAAACUCGAUCUCAAAUCAAGUAAGACUACCCGCUGAACUUAAGCAUAUCAAUAAGCGGAGGA